UACGUAGGUGGCAAGCGUUGUCCGGAAUUAUUGGGCGUAAAGAGCAUGUAGGCGGGAAUCUAAGUCUGUUGUUAAAAUGCGGGGCUCAACCCCGUAUUGCGAUGGAAACUGGGUUUCUUGAGUGCAGGAGAGGAAAGGGGAAUUCCCAGUGUAGCGGUGAAAUGCGUAGAUAUUGGGAGGAACACCAGUGGCGAAGGCGCCUUUCUGGACUGUGUCUGACGCUGAGAUGCGAAAGCCAGGGUAGCGAACGGGAUUAGAUACCCUGGUAGUCCCU
This 274-nucleotide ribosomal RNA is filed under the name uncultured prokaryote. RNAcentral's name for it is "partial 16S ribosomal RNA". It matches the Rfam family "Bacterial small subunit ribosomal RNA", at positions 524 to 798 of the family's 1533-position model. The record is from RNAcentral.